GAUGAACGCUGGCGGCGUGCUUAACACAUGCAAGUCGAACGGGAAAUAUUUCAUUGAGACUUCGGUGGAUUUGAUCUAUUUCUAGUGGCGGACGGGUGAGUAACGCGUGGGUAACCUGCCUUAUGCAGGGGGAUAACAGUCAGAAAUGGCUGCUAAUACCGCAUAAGCGCACAGAGCUGCAUGGCUCGGUGUGAAAAACUCCGGUGGUAUAAGAUGGACCCGCGUUGGAUUAGCUUGUUGGUGGGGUAACGGCCCACCAAGGCGACGAUCCAUAGCCGGCCUGAGAGGGUGAACGGCCACAUUGGGACUGAGACACGGCCCAGACUCCUACGGGAGGCAGCAGUGGGGAAUAUUGCACAAUGGGGGAAACCCUGAUGCAGCGACGCCGCGUGAAGGAAGAAGUAUCUCGGUAUGUAAACUUCUAUCAGCAGGGAAGAUAGUGACGGUACCUGACUAAGAAGCCCCGGCUAACUACGUGCCAGCAGCCGCGGUAAUACGUAGGGGGCAAGCGUUAUCCGGAUUUACUGGGUGUAAAGGGAGCGUAGACGGUGUGGCAAGUCUGAUGUGAAAGGCAUGGGCUCAACCUGUGGACUGCAUUGGAAACUGUCAUACUUGAGUGCCGGAGGGGUAAGCGGAAUUCCUAGUGUAGCGGUGAAAUGCGUAGAUAUUAGGAGGAACACCAGUGGCGAAGGCGGCUUACUGGACGGUAACUGACGUUGAGGCUCGAAAGCGUGGGGAGCAAA
This 743-nucleotide ribosomal RNA is filed under the name uncultured bacterium. RNAcentral's name for it is "bacterial SSU rRNA". It matches the Rfam family "Bacterial small subunit ribosomal RNA", at positions 28 to 772 of the family's 1533-position model. The record is from RNAcentral.